This 376-nucleotide ribosomal RNA is filed under the name uncultured bacterium. RNAcentral's name for it is "bacterial SSU rRNA". It matches the Rfam family "Bacterial small subunit ribosomal RNA", at positions 28 to 404 of the family's 1533-position model. The record is from RNAcentral.
GACGAACGCUGGCGGCGUGCUUAACACAUGCAAGUCGAGCGGUAAGGCCCUUUCGGGGGUACACGAGCGGCGAACGGGUGAGUAACACGUGGGUGACCUGCCCUCAGCUCUGGGAUAAGCCUGGGAAACCGGGUCUAAUACCGGAUAUGACUCCAUGACGCAUGUUGUGGGGUGGAAAGCCUUGUGCGGCUGAGGAUGGGCCCGCGGCCUAUCAGCUUGUUGGUGGGGUGAUGGCCUACCAAGGCGACGACGGGUAGCCGGCCUGAGAGGGCGACCGGCCACACUGGGACUGAGACACGGCCCAGACUCCGUACGGGGGGCAGCAGUGGGGAAUCUUGCGCAAUGGGCGAAAGCCUGACGCAGCGACGCCGCGUGA